GCACUUGAAUCUUUCCCAUCCCUUGUAAUGCCGUUGGGGGUUUGGGGACACAAAGUGCUUACAGCAAAGCAGAGGAAAUCCAGACAGGUUGCUUUCCAAUUUCAUUGGGGGCUUGUCUCUACAACUCUGCAAUAUUU
This 137-nucleotide small nucleolar RNA is filed under the name Sphenodon punctatus (tuatara). Its description in RNAcentral is "Small nucleolar RNA SNORA55 (ENSSPUG00000003264.1)". It matches the Rfam family "Small nucleolar RNA SNORA55". From Rfam's summary of the family: ACA55 is a member of the H/ACA class of snoRNA that guide the sites of modification of uridines to pseudouridines. The record is from Rfam by way of RNAcentral. Lineage: Eukaryota; Metazoa; Chordata; Lepidosauria; Sphenodontia; Sphenodontidae.